CAUGCUAUAAAACAAACAAGUGCAGCAACCAAAUGCAAUCAUCAAGCCAGACUCUAUACUACCAAUUUCUAACGUUCGUGCGGUCUAGGGCGUCCUAUAGCCAGACCUACUCUGAUACCAAGCCUGUGGCACCCCGGCUCAGAGAAACCGGAACGCCCCAUAUUCCAGCCCAGAGAUCGAGAACUCCUUUGGAAUACGGCACUGCUUAGCAUAGAACAAACCAACUUUCUAUUAUUACACGAAUAUGAAUACAAAGUCUCCGAUAUUACAAUGAAUAACAUCGGUACGGCGACACUACGCCAUCCUCAGUUGCUCUAUGCUAGCAACAGAACAACACGAUGUAGUGGAAGAACUCUAGCAGCGGAACAAUGGCGAUGGUGGUGAACUCCACUCCGCAGGGACUCUGGAUGGGACGCUUAUCCUAGCUUGCAAACAAGGACUCCACGGCAAACAAGCAAUCAAAUCCGGAAUGACCUGCAAGCUGGCAUGACACGCCAAGUCAGUACAUUGAAUGUACUUGCAAGCUCACAAUAAUCUAGAAGCAUUCAAGACAAACAACAACAUGGCAAUUAUAGGUUAAACAAGAAUUAUCAUGAUAUCAUCAGAACCAUAUAGCAUGAACAACUUGAACAUGAUAGAGUUAACUCAACAUGAACAUGGCAUGAACAUAUUAAUUCGACAAUACUAUCAUGCAACAUGAUGUCACUACAUGCACCACUUAUACCGCUCAGGCUACCUCGUAACCAACACAUGCAUCACUUACCAACCUCGGACAUCGCACGAUCAUCUCAGGAUCAAAUCAAGCUUGGUAUAAACAACACCGUAGCGAUCAGUAAAUGACCACAAGGAGCUUGAUCUUUACCCACGACUCUCGCACAACAUCACGAAUAUAAAACAACUCGGUAUCCUCGAUACCAUCGUGAUCCUUACGGCGAUCACAACCCAACCAACACUUGGCCCCAAACCGUGAUCCUUACGGCGAUCACAACCCGACCAACACUUGGCCCGUGAUCCUUACGGCGAUCAUAACCCGACCAGUUCUUGGCCCGUGAUCCUUACGGCGAUCACAACCCGACCAACACUUAGGCCGUGAUCCUUAUGAUGAUCACAACCAACUUAUCUCAUUGUCAUUAAUCAAGUUAUUCUUAUUACUGUUGACUCAUGGUGUGACCUACUUUUGACCUAGGCCCUUAUCUGCGGGCAUGGCUAUCGAUAGAUUUAAUAUACACUCUGCAGAGGUUAGUACACUGCACCCACACCAUGGAACUCAUGGCCUCGCACUCCCAUUCGGGUGGACCAACAGCAUUCCGACAAAACCGUCCUACUGCCAUGACACUCUCCCGGCAACUCCGACUCACUCCCCACUAGAUUAAGUCAUGGGUGGCCCCGUGUCUACCUCCAGACACAGCGACCACCGCCGUGGCCAAAAAAUAAAUGAUCCCACAUGGGGAUCCGCCGGCUAUAACAACUACGGGCACACAAGGUUAUGCUUGCUUACCGGGCCAGGGUACAGCACGCCCAUAACCUUCCCUCGUUGGAGGCACCGGGGAGAGGAACGACAAUAGUCCUAGUUAGGAUCGUCCCAUACCGGUAAGCGUGGUUGCACUGGUCAGCAUCGAUUCAGCGGCACCAUGACUCAGCCAACAGUUUUUCAAGUUCAAUUUAAUCCGGUUAACUUGAAUGCAAAUAUGUUGAGCCAUGAUAAAAUACAUGAACAUGAUAUCAACAUUAUCAUGAGAGUAUCACAUAACGUUCCACCAUAUCAACAAUAAAUCAUAUUCACCGAGCAUCGCAUUCUGACUAGCAUGACCAUCUCCAACAUCAACAUGUACUACUAACAAGCAUAAACAUAUGGAAGGUAAUACUAGCAGGCAUGACAUGAUCACAGAGUAUAAGACAACAUAGCACAAAAGUGAACAUGCAAAUCUGAACAUCACCGGAACAACGAUAACCAUCUUUUCAACAAGCAAACAUUUAUUAAAUAUUCAAGUUGAAAACCAUGGCUACUGCAUGAUUAUCAUGCAAGUGGGCAUUGUGGCUUGCCUGGGGAUGAAGAAGGCACCCGGGAGAAGGCGAGAAACUCGCGGAACGAAUCACCGAAAAACGUACUCUCUCGGAGGGGGCUGAAUAAGGGCAAGGGCAUAAAGGUCAUUUUCACAGUGUCAAACCAUAGUGAAAGCAUGACCAACAGAAUGGGCUCGACGAAACUAAGUAGUGAGCGUUGGUUUCACCUGAUUUAGAGCUACGAAUAAAAAGAUAUGGAUGUUUUUCUGCCAGGGACCCAUCUGUAAUGAAGAUAUUUUCAACCAGGGGCCUGAACAGAAAAAGAGAAAACGUAAUCUGUGAAAUACGCUUUCACCUUGUCCAUUUGAACAGUGGCGGGGCUGACGUGUGCGGGUCCCACGGGUGGGGCCCAACACUUUUCCACGUGGGCAUGGCGGGUCAAUGCCCUGUGGCCUACUAGUGGGGCCGAGGGGGCGCGAGACCCACUGACAGGGG
Molecule: long non-coding RNA, 2499 nt
Filed under: Triticum aestivum (bread wheat)
Lineage: Eukaryota; Viridiplantae; Streptophyta; Magnoliopsida; Poales; Poaceae
Description: long non-coding RNA (TAES_LNC008623)
Source: RNAcentral